UACAGAGGGUGCAAGCGUUAAUCGGAUUUACUGGGCGUAAAGCGCGCGUAGGUGGCCAAUUAAGUCAAAUGUGAAAUCCCCGAGCUUAACUUGGGAAUUGCAUUCGAUACUGGUUGGCUAGAGUAUGGGAGAGGAUGGUAGAAUUCCAGGUGUAGCGGUGAAAUGCGUAGAGAUCUGGAGGAAUACCGAUGGCGAAGGCAGCCAUCUGGCCUAAUACUGACACUGAGGUACGAAAGCAUGGGGAGCAAACAGG
Molecule: ribosomal RNA, 253 nt
Filed under: uncultured bacterium
Lineage: Bacteria
Description: partial 16S ribosomal RNA
Rfam family: Bacterial small subunit ribosomal RNA
Source: RNAcentral